GCCUACGGCCACACCACCCUAACAGUGCACAAUCUCGUCUGAUCUCAGAAACCAAGCAUGGCUGUGCAUGUUUAGUACCUGGAUGGGUGACCGCUUCGGAAUACCAGGUGUUGUAGGCU
RNAcentral lists this ribosomal RNA (119 nucleotides) under Xenopus laevis (African clawed frog). The record is from RNAcentral. Lineage: Eukaryota; Metazoa; Chordata; Amphibia; Anura; Pipidae.